GGCAACGAUGGUUAGCUGGUCUGAGAGGAUGAUCAGCCACACUGGAACUGACACACGGUCCAGACUCCUACGGGAGGCAGCAGUGAGGAAUUUUGCGCAAUGGGGGAAACCCUGACGCAGCAACGCCGCGUGAGUGAUGAAGGCUUUUGGGUCGUAAAGCUCUGUCAAGUGGGAAGAAAAUGCGAAAUGCCAAUACCAUUUUGCACUGACGGUACCACUGAAGGAAGCACCGGCUAACUCCGUGCCAGCAGCCGCGGUAAUACGGGGGGUGCAAGCGUUAUUCGGAAUUAUUGGGCGUAAAGAGCGCGUAGGCGGCCUCUUAAGUCAGAUGUGAAAGCCCGGGGCUUAACCCCGGAAGUGCAUUUGAAACUAAGGGACUUGAGUAUGGGAGAGGGAAGUGGAAUUCCUGGUGUAGAGGUGAAAUUCGUAGAUAUCAGGAGGAACACCGGUGGCGAAGGCGACUUCCUGGACCAAUACUGACGCUGAGGCGCGAAGGCGUGGGGAGCAAACAGGAUUAGAUACCCUGGUAGUCCACGCAGUAAACGUUGAUCACUAGGUGUAGCGGGUAUUGACCCCUGCUGUGCCGCAGUUAACGCAUUAAGUGAUCCGCCUGGGGAGUACGGUCGCAAGAUUAAAACUCAAAGGAAUUGACGGGGGCCCGCACAAGCGGUGGAGCAUGUGGUUUAAUUCGACGCAACGCGAAGAACCUUACCUGGAUUUGACAUCUCGGGAAUCAUUCUGAAAAGAUUGAGUGCCCUUCGGGGAACCCGAUGACAGGUGCUGCAUGGCUGUCGUCAGCUCGUGUCGUGAGAUGUUGGGUUAAGUCCCGCAACGAGCGCAACCCUUAUCUUUAGUUACCAUCAUUUGGUUGGGGACUCUAAAGAUACUGCCCCGGUUAACGGGGAGGAAGGUGGGGAUGACGUCAAGUCCUCAUGGCCUUUAUGUCCAGGGCUACACACGUGCUACAAUGGGUUGUACAAAGGGUAGCGAACUCGCGAGGGUAAGCCAAUCCCAAAAAGCAACUCUUAGUUCGGAUUGGAGUCUGCAACUCGACUCCAUGAAGCUGGAAUCGCUAGUAAUCGUGGAUCAGCAUGCCACGGUGAAUACGUUCCCGGGCCUUGUACACACCGCCCGUCACACCAUGAGAGUUGGUUGUACCCGAAGUUGCCAGGCUAACCCAUUAGGGGGGCAGGUACCUAAGGUAUGGCUGAUGAUUGGGGUGAAGUCGUAACAAGGUA
This 1238-nucleotide ribosomal RNA is filed under the name metagenome. Its description in RNAcentral is "bacterial SSU rRNA". It matches the Rfam family "Bacterial small subunit ribosomal RNA", at positions 272 to 1498 of the family's 1533-position model. The record is from RNAcentral.